UCCGUAUGGUGACCUGCGGAGGGAUCAUUACUGAGUUUACGCUCUACAACCCUUUGUGAACAUACCUACAACUGUUGCUUCGGCGGGUAGGGUCUCCGCGACCCUCCCGGCCUCCCGCCUCCGGGCGGGUCGGCGCCCGCCGGAGGAUAACCAAACUCUGAUUUAACGACGUUUCUUCUGAGUGGUACAAGCAAAUAAUCAAAACUUUUAACAACGGAUCUCUUGGUUCUGGCAUCGAUGAAGAACGCAGCGAAAUGCGAUAAGUAAUGUGAAUUGCAGAAUUCAGUGAAUCAUCGAAUCUUUGAACGCACAUUGCGCCCGCCAGCAUUCUGGCGGGCAUGCCUGUUCGAGCGUCAUUUCAACCCUCAAGCUCUGCUUGGUGUUGGGGCCCUACAGCCGAUGUAGGCCCUCAAAGGUAGUGGCGGACCCUCCCGGAGCCUCCUUUGCGUAGUAACUUUACGUCUCGCACUGGGAUCCGGAGGGACUCUUGCCGUAAAACCCCCCAAUUUUCCAAAGGUUGACCUCGGAUCAGGUAGGAAUACCCGCUGAACUUAAGCAUAUCA
RNAcentral lists this ribosomal RNA (563 nucleotides) under Colletotrichum sp. XN-2-2. RNAcentral describes it as "eukaryotic LSU rRNA". The stretch from base 203 to 356 matches the Rfam family "5.8S ribosomal RNA". The record is from RNAcentral. Lineage: Eukaryota; Fungi; Ascomycota; Sordariomycetes; Glomerellales; Glomerellaceae.